GAUGAAGAACGCAGCGAACUGCGAUAAGUAAUGUGAAUUGCAGAAUUCAGUGAAUCAUCGAGUCUUUGAACGCACAUUGCGCCCCCUGGCAUUCCGGGGGGCAUGCCUGUCCGAGCGUCAUUGCUGCCCUUCAAGCCCGGCUUGUGUGUUGGGUCGUCGUCCCCCCCGGGGGACGGGCCCGAAAGGCAGCGGCGGCACCGCGUCCGGUCCUCGAGCGUAUGGGGCUUUGUCACCCGCUCGAUUAGGGCCGGCCGGGCGCCAGCCGGCGUCUCCAACCUUUUAUUUUACCAGGUUGACCUCGGAUCAGGUAGGGAUACUCGCUGAACUUAAGCAUAUCAAUAAGCGGAGGA
Molecule: unclassified non-coding RNA, 350 nt
Filed under: soil metagenome
Description: partial contains 5.8S ribosomal RNA, internal transcribed spacer 2, and large subunit ribosomal RNA
Rfam family: 5.8S ribosomal RNA (bases 1-120)
Source: RNAcentral